RNAcentral lists this long non-coding RNA (440 nucleotides) under Mytilus galloprovincialis (Mediterranean mussel). The record is from RNAcentral. Lineage: Eukaryota; Metazoa; Mollusca; Bivalvia; Mytilida; Mytilidae.
CUAGUACAAUGAUUAAUAAGUCAGCGAUCGCUAGACUAAACAAGUAUAAGUUUAUUGUCGUGUGCAUGUACUUGUUUCGGCGGAUAACGAAGCAGGUGCUUAAAUUUCCAACCACUCCGGUCACAAAAAUCACAACAUAAAUACAAGUCAGCGAAAAAGAUGAAAACAGAUCCUUCUUUUUGUGUCCUAAUUUUUGAACUAUAUAAUUUAUAAGAUCAACAUCAGUAAGGUUUAUCAAUCUGUAGUCCGUGCAGUUUCCCCGGGAACAGUUUGAAACAUAGUCAUCUAAGUUUAAGUCCAAAGUUGCUAAACUUUCCAUGUUCUUUGAUUUAUUCGGUCCCCUACGCUACUCGUUCACAUCUUUUAUAUACCUGAAAUGUAAACCAUAGCAUGGCAUUACAAUGUUUCAUACACUAGCUGCUUACCAGGACCAAGUUGGU